RNAcentral lists this ribosomal RNA (725 nucleotides) under Pseudomonas sp. RNAcentral's name for it is "bacterial SSU rRNA". It matches the Rfam family "Bacterial small subunit ribosomal RNA", at positions 28 to 746 of the family's 1533-position model. The record is from RNAcentral. Lineage: Bacteria; Pseudomonadati; Pseudomonadota; Gammaproteobacteria; Pseudomonadales; Pseudomonadaceae.
AUUGAACGCUGGCGGCAGGCCUAACACAUGCAAGUCGAGCGGCAGCACGGGUACUUGUACCUGGUGGCGAGCGGCGGACGGGUGAGUAAUGCCUAGGAAUCUGCCUGGUAGUGGGGGAUAACGUUCGGAAACGAACGCUAAUACCGCAUACGUCCUACGGGAGAAAGCAGGGGACCUUCGGGCCUUGCGCUAUCAGAUGAGCCUAGGUCGGAUUAGCUAGUUGGUGAGGUAAUGGCUCACCAAGGCGACGAUCCGUAACUGGUCUGAGAGGAUGAUCAGUCACACUGGAACUGAGACACGGUCCAGACUCCUACGGGAGGCAGCAGUGGGGAAUAUUGGACAAUGGGCGAAAGCCUGAUCCAGCCAUGCCGCGUGUGUGAAGAAGGUCUUCGGAUUGUAAAGCACUUUAAGUUGGGAGGAAGGGCAGUUACCUAAUACGUAAUUGUUUUGACGUUACCGACAGAAUAAGCACCGGCUAACUCUGUGCCAGCAGCCGCGGUAAUACAGAGGGUGCAAGCGUUAAUCGGAAUUACUGGGCGUAAAGCGCGCGUAGGUGGUUCGUUAAGUUGGAUGUGAAAUCCCCGGGCUCAACCUGGGAACUGCAUUCAAAACUGUCGAGCUAGAGUAUGGUAGAGGGUGGUGGAAUUUCCUGUGUAGCGGUGAAAUGCGUAGAUAUAGGAAGGAACACCAGUGGCGAAGGCGACCACCUGGACUGAUACUGACAC